Molecule: ribosomal RNA, 706 nt
Filed under: uncultured bacterium
Lineage: Bacteria
Description: bacterial SSU rRNA
Rfam family: Bacterial small subunit ribosomal RNA
Source: RNAcentral
CGAACGAAGCGCCUGCGGCGGACCCCUCCGGGGGCAUAGCCGCAGGGGACUGAGUGGCGGACGGGUGAGCAACGCGUGGGCAACCUGCCCCGUACCGGGGGACAACAGCCGGAAACGGCUGCUAAUACCGCAUAUUCCCGCGGGGCCGCAUGGCCCUGCGGGGAAAGCUCCGGCAGUACGGGAUGGGCCCGCGUCUGAUUAGCUUGUUGGCGGGGUAACGGCCCACCAAGGCUGCGAUCAGUAGCCGGCCUGAGAGGGCGGCCGGCCACAUUGGGACUGAGACACGGCCCAGACUCCUGCGGGAGGCAGCAGUGGGGGAUAUUGCACAAUGGGGGGAACCCUGAUGCAGCGACGCCGCGUGAACGAAGAAAUAUUUCGGUAUGUAAAGUUCUAUCAGCAGGGAAGAAAAUGACAGUACCUGACCAAGAAGCCCCGGCUAACUACGUGCCAGCAGCCGCGGUAAUACGUAGGGGGCGAGCGUUAUCCGGAUUCACUGGGCGUAAAGGGAGCGCAGGCGGCACGGCAAGUCCGGUGUGAAAGCCCGGGGCCCAACCCCGGGACUGCACUGGAAACUGCCGGGCUGGAGUGUCGGAGGGGCAGGCGGAAUUCCUAGUGUAGCGGUGAAAUGCGUAGAUAUUAGGAGGAACACCGGUGGCGAAGGCGGCCUGCUGGACGACGACUGACGCUGAGGCUCGAAAGCGUGGGG